This is a long non-coding RNA of Mesocricetus auratus (golden hamster), 591 nucleotides long. RefSeq lists it as uncharacterized. The record is from RefSeq and is a predicted model, not a curated record. The transcript is spliced from 2 exons. Lineage: Eukaryota; Metazoa; Chordata; Mammalia; Rodentia; Cricetidae.
CUAUGGUUAACUAGUGGCCGACUCUGCCCUCUGAUCUCCAGGCAAGCUUUAUUUGUCAGAACACAAACAGAAUAUCAGACAACAGACAGCACUGAUCCAGGCUCUGCCACCAUCUACAGUAGCUCUGACAGCUGUGAGGAUGGACAUGUUCUACUUCUGUGCUACACACAGUAGUCACAGGCCCCGUGUGCUGACUGGACACUGUCAGAGCACAGCCACAGGACUAUAAAGAGAGAAGUCACCUGAGUCCUCCCCUCACUCAAGAUGAAACUCCUUCUGCUGGUCACUCUGCUCACAGACAAAAACAAAGCCUGUGAGGCCUUCAUCUGCCACUGUGACCGCCAGGCAGCCAUCUGCUUCUCCAAGGCUCCAUCAACAAACAAUACAAAGUCUUUCACUGUUAGACUUGUCAUCUCAGUUACUGCCUACACCAUUCCAGCUUGCCUGCUUGUCUUCAUUACAUGCUGAGCCCUCUAAAAAAGAACCUAGGAAAAGAACUGCGCUUUGGAGACUGUAUUCUCUGUUGUGGAAUAUUAUUUUAAGAUGUGUUAUGUUUGUUUACGCUGUGGAACAUUUGUUUAAUUAUGCAAA